GUCACUUCCAUCCCAGGAACCUGCGCUGCGUAGGGAAGCAAAGUGCAGGAGGGACUUGAUCCUCAGAGGGUACCUGCUUGCUUCCGCAUGAGGAUGUUGUGGAACACCCACGUUCGACCGAAUGACAUAAACACAGGCCUGGAAGGCAUCUCCGAGGAGCGGGUAGUGCCUUCUGCCCUGAGACAGGACUACCCGUACUGGAAGCUCAGGCUGAACCCUGGUGCAGGUUGCCACCAGAAAUCUCCCCCCUGUCUGCAGGGGAGCUGGAUAUAGUAUACGUCAAAGAAAGAGAGACCAGGAGUUUCCAUGCCGGCUGUCCAGCAGGUCCUAGGAGGGACAGGAGGAACACCCCUCUCUCCCUGCUGCCUGAUGGGUUGGGCUGUAUUUUAGCCAACAACAGAAGUACGUGGGAGAACGCGGGAGAAUUUCAAUAAGCUAGCACCAGUGGUAUUUAGGCACCGAAUCCCUCUCUGUAUUUUUGACAGUCUCCCCUUAACUGAGCACAUCACACUUCAAGCAUUUAAAAAUAAAACAUUGCUACCCACA
Molecule: long non-coding RNA, 546 nt
Organism: Pygoscelis adeliae (Adelie penguin)
Lineage: Eukaryota; Metazoa; Chordata; Aves; Sphenisciformes; Spheniscidae
Exons: 2
Source: RefSeq, a predicted model, not a curated record